CAGUAGCCGCGGUAAAACGGAGGGGGCUAGCGUUGUUCGGAAUUACUGGGCGUAAAGCGCACGUAGGCGGCUUGGUAAGUUAGAGGUGAAAGCCCAGGGCUCAACCCUGGAAUUGCCUUUAAGACUGCCGAGCUAGUAGGUGAGAGAGGUAAGUGGAAUUCCGAGUGUAGAGGUGAAAUUCGUAGAUAUUCGGAAGAACACCAGUGGCGAAGGCGGCUUACUGGCUCAUUCUAGACGCUGAGGUGCGAAAGCGUGGGGAGCAAACAGGAUUAGAGACCCCCGUAGUCCCUGUCUCUUAUAC
This 301-nucleotide ribosomal RNA is filed under the name uncultured bacterium. Its description in RNAcentral is "partial 16S ribosomal RNA". It matches the Rfam family "Bacterial small subunit ribosomal RNA", at positions 509 to 807 of the family's 1533-position model. The record is from RNAcentral.